GAUGAACGCUGGCGGCGUGCCUAAUACAUGCAAGUCGAGCGAACGGACGAGAAGCUUGCUUCUCUGAUGUUAGCGGCGGACGGGUGAGUAACACGUGGAUAACCUACCUAUAAGACUGGGAUAACUUCGGGAGACCGGAGCUAAUACCGGAUAAUAUUUUGAACCGCAUGGUUCAAAAGUGAAAGACGGUCUUGCUGUCACUUAUAGAUGGUUCCGCGCUGCAUUAGCUAGUUGGUAAGGUAACGGCUUACCAAGGCAACGAUGCAUAGCCGACCUGAGAGGGUGAUCGGCCACACUGGAACUGAGACACGGUCCAGACUCCUACGGGAGGCAGCAGUAGGGAAUCUUCGGCAAUGGGCGAAAGCCUGACGGAGCAACGCCGCGUGAGUGAUGAAGGUCUUCGGAUCGUAAAACUCUGUUAUUAGGGAAGAACAUAUGUGGAAGUAACUGUGCACAUCCUGACGGUACCUAAUCAGAAAGCCACGGCUAACUACGUG
RNAcentral lists this ribosomal RNA (497 nucleotides) under uncultured bacterium. RNAcentral describes it as "partial 16S ribosomal RNA". It matches the Rfam family "Bacterial small subunit ribosomal RNA", at positions 28 to 507 of the family's 1533-position model. The record is from RNAcentral.